RNAcentral lists this ribosomal RNA (468 nucleotides) under uncultured bacterium. RNAcentral's name for it is "partial 16S ribosomal RNA". It matches the Rfam family "Bacterial small subunit ribosomal RNA", at positions 28 to 507 of the family's 1533-position model. The record is from RNAcentral.
GACGAACGCUGGCGGCGUGCUUAACACAUGCAAGUCGAACGGAAAGGCCCUGCUUUUGUGGGGUGCUCGAGUGGCGAACGGGUGAGUAACACGUGAGUAACCUGCCCUUGACUUUGGGAUAACUUCAGGAAACUGGGGCUAAUACCGGAUAGGAGCUCCUGCUGCAUGGUGGGGGUUGGAAAGUUUCGGCGGUUGGGGAUGGACUCGCGGCUUAUCAGCUUGUUGGUGGGGUAGUGGCUUACCAAGGCUUUGACGGGUAGCCGGCCUGAGAGGGUGACCGGACACAUGGGGACGGAGAUGGGGCCCGGACUCCAGGGGGAGGCGAGGGGGGGAAUUGUUGCAGAGGGGGGGGAGGCUGUAGGCGACACCCCCGGGGGGGGGAGGGGGACUUGGGGUUUGGAAACCGUUUCCCCUGGGGAAGGGGGGGGAGGGAGGGUAGGGGAAAAAGAAGCCCCGGCAAACUACGUG